RNAcentral lists this ribosomal RNA (624 nucleotides) under uncultured bacterium. RNAcentral describes it as "bacterial SSU rRNA". It matches the Rfam family "Bacterial small subunit ribosomal RNA", at positions 32 to 697 of the family's 1533-position model. The record is from RNAcentral.
UACGCUGCGGCUGCUAACCAUCGCUUAAAACGAGAUCUUCGGAUCUACUGGCGCGUAAGUGAGUAACGCGUGGGAACCUACCUUUUAGUACGGGACAACGUCUGGAAACCAACGCUAAUACCGUAUACGCCCUCCGGGGGAAAGGUCAGCCGCUGAAAGAGGGGCCCGCGUCUGAUUAGCUUGUCGGUAGGGUAACGGCCUACCAAGGAUACGAUCAGUAGCUGGUCUGAGAGGAUGAUCAGCCACGCUGGGACUGAGCACACGGCCCAGACUCCUACGGGAGGCAGCAGUGGGGAAUAUUUGGACAAUGGAGGCAACUCUGAUCCAGCAAUGCCGCGUGUGUGAUGAAGGCCCUACGGUUGUAACAGCACUAUCAACGGUGAAGAUGAUGACGGUCGCCGUAAAAGAAGCCCCCGGCUACCUACCUGCCACCAGCCCGCGGUAAUAACCACAACGGGGCGAGCGUUAUUCGGAAUUAUCGGGCCGUAAAGGGCUCGCCAAGCUGCUUGAACAGUAAGACCUGAAAUCCCCGGGGCUCCACCUGAGAACUGGGUUUAUUCUAGCAAGCUAGAGAAAUAGAGACGAACGUGGAACUCCAAAUGUAGAGGUGAAAUCACUAGAUAU